GAGAGUUGAAAGGGUCAAAAACUGAAAUAGCACGUUGGUUGGCGAUGGAUUGGUGAAGUGAACUGAGGAAUGAAAAGUGAAAAUUGCUGAACCAACUUUUUAGCUUUUGGAGUGGUGUGAGAGAGUGUAUCACGCAGCGCAGCACAUGUAAUAAUAACGUGACGCCAUUUUCGCUCUCAACGCGCUCAGUGUGCAUGUGCUCUCUCUCGCUCUCUUCCUAUUAUCUCUCUUCUCUAUGCUCUUUAGCUACAACUAACUGUAUACAUACGCAUUCAGUUGCAGAAAUUUCAGGCGAAGUUGAAGAAGAUCUUAUUCUCAACCCGAUUUCUCGCGGCGCCGAUCCAAUCCACAAAUGAAGUCUAACAAAGCCUUAAACCCUCUCAUCACCUUCGACCACAAGAGGGAUGCGUAUGGGUUUACUGUGCGACCUCAACAUCUGCAAAGAUACCGUGAAUAUGCCAACAUAUACAAGGAGGAAGAAGAGGAGAGGUCGGAUCGAUGGAAGUCAUUUCUAGAUAGGCAGGCAGAAUCUUCUGAAUUGGCCACAGACAAAUUAGUAGUAGGAGAAGGUGAGAAAGUUUUGGGUAAUGAAACAGCAGGGCAGGAAGCCAAUGCUAGUUUGGAGAAUCGUGUCAAUGGAGAUGAAGCUAGCAACCAAACACCUGAUGGUUCCGACAGUACUGUUGAAAAUGGUAGUCAGAAGGAGGAGAUACCACCGUCUGAGGAAACAAGAGUUCACCGAGUCCAAUUAUGGACGGAGAUUAGGCCAUCUCUUCGUACCAUCGAGGAUAUGAUGAGCAUUCGUGUAAAGAAGAAAACAGGGUCAGUAAAAGAUGAAAGAAACAAGAAAGGCGUGUUAAAAUAUGAACAGAUUAUUGAAACUGCUAAAUCACUAUCUCAUUCUGAUGAUGCUAAAUCACCAAAAGGAGCAUGUGAGGAAGACUCUGAUGAGGAGUUCUAUGAUGUUGAGAGGUCGGAUCCUAGUCCAGAUAUGCCUCUUGUUGAUGGAACAAGCGCCUCUGCUAAUGGUAUUGCUGCUGAUGCUGCACUACCAGAGGCUUCAUUUCCUUGGAAAGAAGAGUUGGAAGUUCUUGUCCGUGGGGGAGUACCAAUGGCAUUGAGGGGAGAGCUUUGGCAAGCUUUUGUGGGUGUAAAAGCAAGGCGGGUGGAGAAGUAUUAUCAGGAUCUGCUUGCCUCGGAGAAUGAUUCUGAAAUUAAAACGGAUCAGCAAAGCAUGCAGUCAACUGACAGUAAUGGUAAAACAAGUGCAGAUUUUGUACGUAUGCCAGAAAAAUGGAAAGGACAGAUUGAGAAGGAUCUGCCUCGAACAUUUCCUGGUCAUCCUGCUUUGGACGAGGAUGGCAGAAAUGCCUUGAGGCGAUUACUUACUGCAUAUGCUCGGCAUAAUCCCUCAGUUGGUUACUGCCAGGCCAUGAAUUUUUUUGCUGGCUUAUUGCUCCUUUUGAUGCCAGAAGAAAAUGCCUUUUGGACAUUAAUGGGCAUUUUAGAUGAUUAUUUUGAUGGCUAUUAUUCAGAGGAAAUGAUAGAGUCUCAGGUGGAUCAAUUUGUUUUUGAGGAGUUGGUGAGGGAGAGGUUUCCCAAAUUGGCCAAUCAUCUAGAUUAUCUGGGAGUGCAAGUAGCAUGGGUUACCGGACCAUGGUUCCUUUCCAUUUUUGUCAACAUGCUUCCUUGGGAAAGUGUUCUUCGAGUGUGGGAUGUGCUUCUUUUUGAAGGAAACCGAGUCAUGCUUUUUAGAACUGCAGUUGCUUUGAUGGAGCUAUAUGGUCCAGCAUUGGUAACAACAAAAGAUGCUGGAGACGCAGUUACUUUACUUCAGUCAUUGGCUGGCUCUACAUUUGAUAGCAGCCAGCUUGUCUUGACAGCUUGCAUGGGUUACCAAAAUAUAAAUGAAACUCGGUUGCAGGAGCUGAGGAAUAAACAUCGGCCAGCUGUAAUAGCUGCCAUUGAAGAAAGAUCAAAAGGGCUUAAAGCUUGGCGGGAUUCUCAGGGUCUGGCAUCAAAGCUAUUUAAUUUCAAACAUGAUCCUAAAACUGACCAAUCAGGUGAUAUGCAAGUACUUGGCAGUUUAUCUCGCACAGAAUCUGGGUCCACUAAUGCAGAUGAAAUUCUUAUUAGUCUGACUGGAGAGGGUGAGAUAGAUUCUGUUCCAGAUCUUCAAGAUCAGGUUGUAUGGCUGAAGGUUGAACUUUGUAAAUUACUAGAGGAGAAAAGAUCAUCUAUUCUCAGGGCAGAGGAGCUUGAAACAGCAUUAAUGGAAAUGGUCAAGCUGGAUAAUAGGCGGCAAUUGAGUGCCAAAGUAGAGGAACUAGAUGAAGAGGUUGCUCAGCUUCGGCAGGCACUUGCUGAUAAACAAGAACAAGAAACUGCCAUGCUUCAGGUCUUGAUGCGGGUGGAGCAAGAGCAGAAGGUGACCGAGGAUGCUCGCAGGUUUGCUGAACAAGAUGCAGCAGCCCAAAGAUAUGCUGCCCAAGUCCUUCAGGAAAAGUAUGAAGAAGCAACUGCUGCACUUGCUGAAAUGGAGAAGAGAGCAGUUAUGGCAGAAUCUAUGCUGGAGGCUACAUUGCAAUAUCAGUCUGGCCAAGUUAAAGUGCAACAAUCUCCACGGGUCUAAUACCCAAGUAUUAAUAAUAAGAUCUUAUAUUGUUUAUGGGAAGAACCCUCUGCGAAUGAACUUGAUCUUUUGCCUUGCUUAGAUCUUCACAGCCAGAAUCUCCAGUAUCAAGAAACAAUCAAGAGCCUACGACGGAUCUCCCUUCCAGGAGAGUAAGUUUGCUUUCACGUCCAUUUGGACUUGGAUGGCGUGAUCGAAACAAGGGGAAACCCACUAAUGUGGAAGAGGCAGCUGAGGGAAAGCCCAUCGUUGAGGAACAAAGUACAGUCAUUCAACAAGAGGGCAAUGGCAAAGUACAGGAUGAGUAGGAAAAAAGAUAGUGCCUAGAUUUUCUGUAUGUUCUCAAGACAGUUUGACGAGCAAGAAGUUUAGUUCCUUCUUCCUUGUCUGUAAUUUUUGUUUAGGGUGAACAUAUAAUUUCAUAUUCAUUAAUUGUUUGUUCUUUAUCAUGUAAUAGAAUAAUAGUAAUUGGAAAGUAAGAGUAUGGUCGAGGUCAACUGUAAUACAUCUGGUUUAUUCUAUACUAGAAACUUUCUUGU
This is an RNA transcript of Abrus precatorius (Indian licorice), 3171 nucleotides long. It is a transcript of the gene named TBC1 domain family member 8B, with no coding region annotated. The record is from RefSeq and is a predicted model, not a curated record. The transcript is spliced from 18 exons. NCBI's taxonomy places the organism in Eukaryota, Viridiplantae, Streptophyta, Magnoliopsida, Fabales, Fabaceae.